RNAcentral lists this ribosomal RNA (253 nucleotides) under uncultured bacterium. RNAcentral's name for it is "partial 16S ribosomal RNA". It matches the Rfam family "Bacterial small subunit ribosomal RNA", at positions 524 to 776 of the family's 1533-position model. The record is from RNAcentral.
UACGUAGGGUGCAAGCGUUGUCCGGAAUUAUUGGGCGUAAAGAGCUCGUAGGCGGUCUGUCGCGUCUGCUGUGAAAACCUAAGGCUCAACCUUGGGCUUGCAGUGGGUACGGGCAGACUAGAGUGCGGUAGGGGUGACUGGAAUUCCUGGUGUAGCGGUGGAAUGCGCAGAUAUCAGGAGGAACACCGAUGGCGAAGGCAGGUCACUGGGCCGCAACUGACGCUGAGGAGCGAAAGCAUGGGGAGCGAACAGG